UGCGUGGCAGUGGGCUGGUUUGGUGCAGCCAAAACCUCCUGGGGAGCAGGUCCCUAUUUCCCCCACGUCCCUCUCCCAGCCCUGGACACCUUUUGGAGCUACACUUGAGCUGUACAUGGAUGAAAAUAAGAGCCACGAGCCCUGGGGUUGCUCUUGGUGGCAUUUGGUGGCUGUGGGGCUGAGUCUAGCCAGGGAAGAGGAUGCGUGAGCAGGAUGGGACUCCAGCAGCCCAUCGGCUUAGUGCGGAGGCAAAGCAGUUAACCUGGACAUCAGCUCUUCCUGAGAAUUGUGUAUUGACCCUGACCGCGAUGCAUCAGGAGCGACAGACUCUCCAUCAUCGAUCCCUCUCCUCCCAUCACCAGGUGUCGACACCGACGGUCGCGGAGCCGGCUUUAAUUUCAGGCCUCUGGCUCCAAAGGGUAACACUUAGCCGUGGUCCCAAGGUGCUGCCAGGCUUUGCAAACACCUCCGCGGGCAGGUUGCCAUCCCUGUUUUGGGGCAGGGAUGGCACUUGCCGGGGGCGGCCAGCUGAGCUGGGGAUGGGGCUCACAGUGGACCCGGGAGUUCCCCAGGGCAAUCAGGCAGGGUGGCCUCUUGAGGUGGCCCUUGGUGGAGGACCCAGGGGGGUACAUGGAGCUCCUGCUUUGCCAGUCUUUGCUAGGAAAACCCUCUGGUCUGGUUCCCUCCAUGCCCUCGGUGCCGAACAGCAGAGGAUGCACCCAGGCUGGGGAGUCCCAGUCUUUCUGCACCCCCGUCACCAACUGGGUGACCUCAUUUGGCCAGGAUACUUCUGGUCCUCCCCAUCUCCAAAAUGGCCACGGCCAAAUCUGGUGGGCCGUGUGUGCGUGCCACCCCACGGAGACCUGGUGGGGAGGGUGGUGUUUUCGAUGGGGUGCCUUGAUUUUGGGCAGGAUGAAGCGGCUGGCAGGGGCCGGCUGGCACGCCGCCUCUCCUCCUUCCCAGCAUCUUGAGAUUUCCGAGACGUACGCAACCAGGCUGAGGCUGAAAAAGCUGCUUGUGGUUCAAGAGCAUCUCCUCGACGGCGGAGAGAGGGGGAGGCUUUUCAUUCCUCCCUUUCUUUCGGAGCUAGCUGAGCUCCCCUCGCCGGUGCAGGGGCUCUUCCCGUCCCCCCCCCUGCAAGGGAACGUUA
RNAcentral lists this long non-coding RNA (1150 nucleotides) under Calidris pygmaea (Spoon-billed sandpiper). RNAcentral describes it as "lncRNA (ENSCPGG00000003432.1)". Lineage: Eukaryota; Metazoa; Chordata; Aves; Charadriiformes; Scolopacidae. The record is from RNAcentral.